GACCUUGUAGCUCAGACGGUAGAGCAUCGUUUUAGAAAUGCGAAGGUCGCGGGUUCGAAUCCCAGCCGCGGUCA
Molecule: transfer RNA, 74 nt
Filed under: Paramuricea clavata
Lineage: Eukaryota; Metazoa; Cnidaria; Anthozoa; Malacalcyonacea; Plexauridae
Rfam family: tRNA
About the family: Transfer RNA (tRNA) molecules are approximately 80 nucleotides in length. Their secondary structure includes four short double-helical elements and three loops (D, anti-codon, and T loops).
Source: Rfam by way of RNAcentral